Molecule: transfer RNA, 70 nt
Filed under: Pulchrana similis (Laguna del Bay frog)
Lineage: Eukaryota; Metazoa; Chordata; Amphibia; Anura; Ranidae
Also listed under: 1 other name
Description: tRNA-Val
Rfam family: tRNA
About the family: Transfer RNA (tRNA) molecules are approximately 80 nucleotides in length. Their secondary structure includes four short double-helical elements and three loops (D, anti-codon, and T loops).
Source: RNAcentral
CAAAAUGUAGCUUAACUAAAGCCCCCCGCUUACACCGAGAAGUUAUCUGUUUGACCCAGAUCAUUUUGAG